RNAcentral lists this ribosomal RNA (253 nucleotides) under uncultured bacterium. RNAcentral describes it as "partial 16S ribosomal RNA". It matches the Rfam family "Bacterial small subunit ribosomal RNA", at positions 524 to 776 of the family's 1533-position model. The record is from RNAcentral.
UACGUAGGGGGCAAGCGUUGUCCGGAUUUACUGGGCGUAAAGAGCGUGUAGGCGGCCUCACAGGUCCGUUGUGAAAACUGAAGGCUUAACCUUCAGACGUCGACGGAAACCGUGUGGCUAGAGUCCGGAAGAGGAGAGUGGAAUUCCUGGUGUAGCGGUGAAAUGCGCAGAUAUCAGGAAGAACACCAAUGGCGAAGGCAGCUCUCUGGGACGGUACUGACGCUGAGACGCGAAAGCGUGGGGAGCAAACAGG